CCGAGUUAGGGUCGCCUUCCAGGUGCCCGACCUCCCAACCCUUUGUCUAAGAUACCUCAGUUGCUUCGGGUGGGCCGGGCGCGACCAACUGGCUUCGUGACCGGCGGCCGGGGGAUACCCCGGCGGCAGAGCGCCCACCGACGGCCUCCACAAAACUCUUGAUACCUAAACCUGUCGUCUGAAUUUACUUGAUAUUAAUCAAAAACA
RNAcentral lists this unclassified non-coding RNA (207 nucleotides) under uncultured Trichomeriaceae. RNAcentral describes it as "sequence contains ITS1". The record is from RNAcentral. Lineage: Eukaryota; Fungi; Ascomycota; Eurotiomycetes; Chaetothyriales.